This 248-nucleotide ribosomal RNA is filed under the name uncultured bacterium. RNAcentral's name for it is "partial 16S ribosomal RNA". It matches the Rfam family "Bacterial small subunit ribosomal RNA", at positions 524 to 776 of the family's 1533-position model. The record is from RNAcentral.
UACGGGGGGAGCAAGCGUUGUUCGGAUUUACUGGGCGUAAAGGGCGCGUAGGCGGCCUCUGCAAGUCGACUGUGAAAUCUCCGGGCUUAACCCGGAAAGGUCAGCCGAUACUGCAGGGCUAGAGUGCAGAAGGGGCAACUGGAAUUCUCGGUGUAGCGGUGAAAUGCGUAGAUAUCGAGAGGAACACCUGCGGCGAAGGCGGGUUGCUGGGCUGACACUGAGGAACGAAAGCCAGGGGAGCAAACGGG